This 3649-nucleotide long non-coding RNA is filed under the name Podarcis lilfordi (Lilford's wall lizard). Lineage: Eukaryota; Metazoa; Chordata; Lepidosauria; Squamata; Lacertidae. The record is from RNAcentral.
GAUGUCCCCCAAUCUGGCAUUCUAAAGGUUGGAGGAAAGACCUCUUAGCUGACUGACCAGUGGCACUUUUAAUGACUACACUUUUGGAUGCCUUUUUCUGCAAUAGUUCUGGGAGUACUGAGUAUUCAGCGCCAGUAUCUAUCAUAAAGUCUAUUAAAUGGCUCCCUAAUUGAAUUUUGACCGUGGGCUCCUGGAAGCCUAACUUUAUGGAGUCCGGUCGUUCCUAGUCUUGGGUAAAAUCCUCCUCUGCCAGUCCAAUGAAAUUGUCUCUACUCCGUCCUUGUCCAGGUCUCUGAUAUCUUCCAUCUCGGAUCAUUCCCCGUCCCCGUCCCUGGUUUCUUGGGCCGGAGCCUGGGCCUGGGCCUGGGCGUACUUCUUCCAACCUCAGGGGUUCAGGACACUCCCGCUUCCAAUGACCCUCCUUCUUGCAAUUCGCACAUUGAUUCCUUCCCAGUGGUGGAUUCCUUCCCCGCCCUCUCCCUCCAUUUAAAGGGCGGUAGUCUUGCUUCACUGCUGUGGCUAGCAUCACCAUCUUUUCCUUCUGCCACUUCUUCUUCUCUUGUUUCUCAGCCUCAUCCCUAUUCCGAUAAACUCGGCGUGCAAUGGCCAUAAUUUGGCUCAUCAGCAUCCCUUCCCAGCCUUCUGACUUCUGAAUUUUCUUACGAAUGUCAGAAGCGCACUGAGCCACAAAAGUAGCAGUAAUCAUUCUGCUGUUUGCAGGGGCUUCAGGGUCAAAAGGAGUCCAUAUACGAUAGGCUUCCUGCAGCCUCUCUAAAAGUCUCCCGGACUCUCAUUCGGUUUCUGUUCUACUUCUGAGACUUUAGUCAUAUUAGUGGGCUUCUGGCAUGCCCUGCGGAUACCUUGCACAAGCGUCUGGCGGUAGGUGGUAAGCCUGGCCAGGUGAAUUGCAUUGUUUGGAUCCCAAUUAGGAUCCUCCAAGGGAAAAUUGUCCUGGAGAUGACGGUCAACAUUAAGAAUAUUUCCCACUCUGGCCUGCUCACGCAAAUAUAUCUGUGCCUUUUCAAUUAUGUCUCUUCUUUCCUCAGUGGUGAACAGAGUAUUCAGGAGCUGGCGGCAAUCUGUCCAAGUAGGACUAUGAGUAUUUACUAUUGAAGUCACCAAGUCCAUCAUAGCCUGAGGUUUUUCUGCGAAAGACGGGGUGUGUGUUUUCCAAUUCAUCAGAUCCGUAGUUGUGAAUGGAAUGUACUGGAGGGUCGAAGUUCGAGGUGGCCGUGGUCCGAGUUGCCCGUUAACCAGCACAGGCUCCUCAAGUGCAUCAAAUACUCUUCUGAGAGGGGCUACUACGUGACCUUUCUCUUCGCUUUGCUUUAGGGGCCUCAAAUCAUAGGGGAUAGUAUUUGUCCCAAGGCGUUCUUUUAACAGCUUUAUACGCCUGGCUGUAUUGCUUACUGACCGAUCAAAGUCUCCCUGUAACUCCUGUAAUAGUUCUCUAGGACUUGGAUGUACAGGGGUUUGGGGUGGGCAAUCAGUUGUUCCACUAAAGGAGACUGUAGAUGGAGUUCUACUGGGACUCACAGGUGGAAUAACCACUUCUGCUUGGGCUUUAUUAUAGGACUCCAAUGCCUCCUGAAGAUAUUUAUCAUAAUCUAUCAAGGAAUCAAGCUCUGUGACUCCAGCCCCAUUAUUCCUUCCACUUUCUUGCCUUGGGGUUACAACUGGUGGAGUGUUUGGAUUAGGCUCCCUCGAUGUGGAGCAUAGGGUGGAGGUGGAAGCACCUCUUCCUCUGGUCCCUCAAAAAUGGGUUUGAGUUUAUUUGGCAAGAUUCCUUUCCUAGCUUCGGCUUUUACAGCCAAUAAUUUGCAUUGUUGGACUUUGCAUUCCCUUAUCCAUGGAGGAUUAUUAUUUAAUGUGCUCAGCCAAGAAUCUAUAUAUGAAAAUUGUUCUGGGCACCCUCCAGUUUCUUUGGUGAUGUUAGACCAAAGUUUGCUUGCUAAAUUUAUAUCAAAACUUCCCUGAGGUGGCCAUCCAGUAUUUUGUUUUGGCCAGUCUAAUUCACAUAACGUUCUCAAGCGCUCUGGCGUCAUUUUGACUCCAUAUGCUCCUGAGAAGGCUUUCUUAAAAUUAUUUAACAUACAUUCAAGAGGUGUAUUUUCCCCUUUGAACCUCCAACUCCCAUUGUAUGGCCCUGUGAAGUAUCCACUCAGUCACUCACACACACGCUUCGUGGGGAUCCUUGCCUAGUGAAGUCGCCUUACUAGGAACCGAAGUACUACCCACUCCACACUCAGGUCAGCUACAAAUUGUACUUUCUCACACAUACAAUGCGCUGGAUACUUCACCACACUCUACCUCCCAAUCUUUCCCUUUUCCCUCCACCAGACCACCAUCUGAUGUACCCAACCACCUAGCGUACUCAGUUCCCCCUUACUGAGACGCAGAAGUUUGAUCAAGACUUCUCUUCCUCCCAAGUAAUUGGAGGGCCACAACCCCUUUGUGCACUUACCCUUAGCUGGUCCCUGUUUAUUUCUCUGGUUACCCCCGGUCCGUCGCCGCCAGUGAGCAGGGUAUCAGACAGACGAGACUUCUGCGUUCCCCUGGAAAAAUGUUCCAGUGCGCGCUGGGUAAGCGGUCAGUGGUCCUCCCUCUUGUACCCUGCCCGCUAGGGCGAAGGGGCUGCGUUCCAGCAGACCACUUAUCCGAGUCACAGAGGCACCAUAAAAUGUAGCACCCUGCUUGUGGUUAACGCUUAGCUGGAAUGAAAUAUUCAACGCAGCAAUAGAGAAAUUAAAAUAAUAAUUUAUUUGUCAGACAAAUAAAUGAGAGACACAGUGGUAUAUGGAUACCAAAGCUCUGCCUACUCCAGCCCUGAUGGCCAGCACUUAUAUUUCCUCAGCCCAGCCCCCUUGCUCCUCCUUUGGCUGCCUCUGUCCAAUCAUCCUGGUUGAAAUUCCUAUUGGUUGUUUGCUAGAACCAAUCAUAAAAGAUACACCCAUUUCCUAUUCCCUUUUAUGGGAGACAAAAGCUAUAUUUCCUUGUAUCCAUAAAUGGCAGACAAGUAGCCAUAUAUCUUACAUUUACCUCGACCAGGCACCUCAAUUACCAGAUAACCUUUGGCCCCUGUUGCCCUAUUCACCGCAAACCAGAUGGCUAAAGCAGAUGGUGCAUGGUUUCUAAUUUUUUUAUCUUAAAGAGAUCUUGAGUUCACCUUCUCACCCACCAUAAUAGGAAUCUAACAUAAGAAUCUAACAUUUCUUACUUUCUAAAUCCUUUGCAUAAUCACAUUUAAGCCAAUAUAUUUCAUACAUAACAUAGAUAGAUUUUUAGAAGGAAAGGCCUUUUCAAAUUAAAGGAAUUUAGUAAAAGCUAAGUUCCUAAGUUCUAUAAAGAAACCUUUUUCCCUAACCAGCGGCUGUUUCUUCCAUUUAACCUUUAACCUUAUGGCUCGAGUCUUCUGUUAAACAAUAAAUUUCACUAUUUACCAGUUCUUAAUUGUGUUUUUACAGCUUGAUUGUAUUCUGGUCAGUGUGACCUUUUGCUCUCUGGCUCUAAUUUCCUUUUACAACCCUGAAAUACUUUUAUUUAUAGCAGUGGGGCCCUUGAACAGCUGCCAGAGUAUUCAGCUGCUCUUCUCCCUUGCAUGAGAGAAAAAUAUAUUUACAAAUAUAAUUUUUUUAAGCUCAAAGCAGAU